GUUAAGUAAUCUGUGACCUACUAUACCUAUUCAUUUGGGGAGAAUUACAAUGCAAUUUCAAUUUCAAUUGAAGUCUCUGACCCUUAUUUACUGAAUCAUAAGUAUUUCAUCCGAUUGUAUUUGUGAGCCAAGAACACUUUCUACUUAUUUGGGGAUGCUUCUUUUUAUUAUUUCCUCAGGAUAAGACAAACUUAGUGAGUGGAAGACUAGUUGUGUGGGAGAAUAAUAACUUAUAAGACAGGUUUUCACCCAAGUGCCAUAGAAAGACUGUCAUACAUUGAUGAUGAUGUGAAAUGUGAAUUUAAGGCCUAUUGUUUAAUCCAUUGCUCUUUUUAAUACAUUGACUUUUUAGUGUGGUAGGGCAGCCGAGAAGUUAGCAAUAUUUCAUUAUUUCUCAAGUAAAUCAACUCAAAAGAUCAUUACCAAAAUAGUAAAAUUCCACGUAUUUUCACUAUCUGCCAAGUACUAAAACCCAGCGUCAUCUUGUCAUAAAAAAAUAGCAAUAUAUUGGAAUCCUUUUUGAAGUCUUCAGUGCCCAAAGUAUGGAAGAGAUCAGUUAACAAAAAUGCAUUAAGAGGAAGAAUAAUAGGAUUUAUGGAUCUACUUUUAGUUUUGUUUUGUUUUUGCAUUUUCAUAAUGUUUAUUGAUAUGGAGAUAUUACUUUUAAACAUGCUAUAGUUUAGCUUACAUUUAGAAUACAUUUCCUGUAAAUGAAAAUGCACAAUAGUAAGCAAAGUUACUAGUACGGAUUGACCAUUGAAAUCCCAAUGAGGGUUCCAGGAGAGUAAGCCCUUGGAAAAGUCUCUUGUUAUGAUGGAACCAGGAAAGUCACAAGCAUGACAAGGAAUAUGUUCUGUGAAAAGAUGCCCCACGUGUCCAAAUGCCUGGAGACACUGGAUGAUCUUUUUUCCAGAAACAACAACAGCAGUUUUAAAUAUGAUUCAGCAAUCCCAGUGAACUUCGAUAUUCAAAGAAUUAGAAAUCAGUAUAUUGACAUGACAACUACACUUCCAUGUUUAUUGCAGCACUAUUCACAAUAGCCAAGAUAUGGAGUCAACCUAAGUUGAUUAUCAACAUAUCAACAGAUGACUGGAUAAUGCAAAUGUGGUUUAUAGCACAAAGAAAUGCUAUUUAGCCUUAACAAAGAAAUUAUUGUCAUUUGCAGCAUCAUAGAUAGAUCUAGAUAACAUUACACUAAAUGAAAUAAACCAGGAACAGAAAGACAAGUAUUGUAUGAGCUCACUUAUAAUGGGGAAUCUAAAAAAAGUAGAAAUCACAGAAGCAGAGAGCAGAAUGGUGGUUACUAGAGGCAGGGGGUGGGAGACAUGAGCAAGGAAAGGGGAGAUGUUAAUCAAAGGAUACAAGGUUUCCUUUAGACAGGAGAAAUGAGUUCUAGUGAUCUACCGCACAGCGUAGUGCCUAUAGUUAAUAAUAAUGUAUUGCAUAUUUGAAAAUUGUUAAUAGGUUUUAAAUGUUCUCACCAAAAAUGAAUGAUAAAUAUAUGAGGUGAUAAUAUGUUAAUUAGCUACAUUUCAUCAUUCCACAGUGUAUACAUAUAUCAAUACAUCACAUUUUGCCCCAUAAAUAUAUAGAAUUAUUAUUAGUCAAUUAAAAUCAAAUAAAAUUUUGAAGGGCAGUGCUUAAAUUUCAUUAUUAUGCAAUAUACUACCUAUUUGAUCUUUGUCCAGUCACCCAGCCUCACUGUAUCAUUGUUCUCCUCUCCAAAAAAUAAAAUGCUAACCAAUUAAAGAGAAGCCAGAGGAAAGCAAAUAGAAGCAAAUUAAAGUAUGUUGCAUAUACAUAGUUAAAUUAUGAAUUAUCUACUUGUAUGUGAAUAGGACCCUCCGACAUGCACUCGUAUUUUUAAAAUAAAACAUAGCCUAGUGUUCCCCUGUUGGAAUUAUAAGCAUGUGCCACUCAGAAAUCAUAUGUCAGGAAAUAACUUUGCUCUGAAAACGUUCCAUAUUUUUUUCUUUUUAUAGAGUUCUGGACUACUUGGUAAUUCCACUUAUCAUUUGACAGAUUACUUAUCUGUGACCUGUUGUACCUAUUCAUUUGGAGGACAAAAUCAGUAGCCUCUUUAAGUGCAGUAAGAUUAGUGAUGACUUUGUUUGUCAUCACAAACCAAGACUGUUUUCAGGACAGUAAGUCCCACACCUAGGUUUCAGUGGAAUUUGAUUUGUAAGAACAAAUCAGUGCUUUGGAAAUGUCGUUCUUAUUUUAAUGAGUUUAUAAUUAAGCAGAACACAGGUUGUUUUCUUUGCAGAAUCCCACCCACAAGGAUUCUAUUGAUUUACUGUUUAAUUAUAUGAAAUAGCAUGUCAGGGUGAAGGUAAAGCAGAAAACAAAUUAUGAUCUAAUCUAAAAUGUAGAUCUAUAUUAGAAUGAGACUGCUGACCUGUGAAAUACAUUCAAAUAGUAUUUACCAAAAUCAUUCCUAUUGUCAAAAUGAUGAAGAGACAUUUUCUCUGGGUGUUGCAGUGGGGACUGAGACAGCAGAAGUCUCCAAAGGUAAUUGUGAACUUAAAACUCUAAAAUAAUUUCCACAUAUUUGCAUCACAAAAUAUAUUUUUCAUUGUAGAAAGAAUAAUUUAAGUCCCUCAAAGUUUUUUAAAUUAUUACUUAUAGAGGAUAUAGGUUCGGAGACAACAGUGUUGAAUGUAGAAGAACUACUGAAAUUAAAUGCAAGAAUAUUGAAGAUUACGGCUGAGCCUGUUUGUAGUUGCAAAUGUUAUUGCUUUCACUAAAAUUACUUUGAGACUAUUAUGUUGCCAUGAACCUUAUUCAAGUGGCAAGUUUUCUCACCCAAAGUAUGUUCAUCUUUCUCAAAUGAAAAAUUAUCCACAUAUAGAACAGGUAUUUACAAUCAUAAAGCAAAAAAUUAGUUAUUAUAUUUUAAUUAUUAUACCAGGUCCUAUAGGUAGCAUCCACUGAUGUAGCAUCAUUGAAUACUACUUUAUAUAAGACCUGGCAAAAUUACACAUAGGAAUUAGAAUUUUAAAGUGAACAAAACAAUUCCUUUUCUAUAAAAGCUAAAAAUGGCAUUCAAAUGUCAUUAACAUAAAUUAACAUAUAUGCAGAAUAUUGUAAGACCACCAAGGAGGACUCUACAAAGAAGAGGUAAUUAUUUUUAUAUGAAUGGCAGCUUAUUUUCAUAAUAAUAAUUAAUCACAUAUAAUCAUUGGCUUCAUGUGAUGUCCAUUUGUGAAAUAACAUGAUAGAACAUAAAAUGUGUGCUAAGGGUAGAUAAUAUUGGAAAUCUAGAAUAGUACUCAGUUGAGGAGAACCUUGAAGGUCAAACUAAGCCACUAGAUUAUUUUUACUUCCUUGGGGAACACAAAAAGUUUUGUUUACUCUUUCCAACUCUCCGGGAAAUGGCCUGUGUAAAGAAUGCUUAAGAAGUUUGAUCUGAAAAUACAUCUAGAAUAGUCCUAACUGGGCUGUUCUCAGGUACCUUACUUGGAGAUUCCAUAUGAUUUCAAAAGCAUUUCAAUGAUGAAAAGUCUAAAAGAACACAUCCCAAAGAAUAGGCAUGUUAGGAAAUGACUCAGAAUAUCCUACAACUGAUACUGAGAAAGAUGUAGAUCACAGGCUAGGCAAAAUUUUCUGAGGGGUGUGUGGGCAACUAUUAUGUUUUGUUUUGUUUAUUGUAUGUGUGUGUGUGUAUGUGUGUGUCUAUAUAGUUAUUGGAGCACAAGCAAGGGCAUACAUACUCUGGGGGAAAAAAAUCUUCCAAACUCCUUUUACAAGGCCAGCAGUACCCUCUUGCCAUAACUAGGUAAGGAUACUACAAGAAAAUAAAAUUAUAGACCAAUAGGCCUGAUUAAUGUAAAUGCAAAAACUCAAAAAAAAAAUCAAAUUCGGCUUCACUUUAAAAGGAUUAUGCAUCAUGAACAAGUGAAAUUUAUCCCUUGGAUGCAAGGAUGUUCAACAUGUGCAAAUCAAAAAAUGUGAUACACCAUGUUAACAGAAUGAAAAAUAAAAAACAAAUGAUAAUCUUAACGCAGAAAAAGUAUUUGGUAACAUUUAAUGUCUUUUCAUAACAAAAAAUUUCAACAAAUUAUGUACAUAAACAAUGUACCUCAACAUAGUAAGUGCCAUAUACUACAUAUAAUAAGCCUGUAACCAAUGUCAUAUUCAAUGUUAGAAAUCUGAAAGCUUUUCGUCUAUGAUGAGAAACAAGAUUAAGAUGCUCACACUUUCUACUUCUGUUCAAUAGAGUACUGGAAGUCCUACCCAGUCUAACUAGGCAAGAAGAAGAAAUAAAAGUCUUCUGAAUCAGAUAAGAAGUAAAAUUGACUCUGUUUGCAGGUGACAUGAUCUUAUUUAUAGAGAACCAUAAAGACUAUUGGAAAAAACUCUCAAAGGAUCAUCUUAUAAUACAAAAUAUUCUUUACUUCAGGAGGCACAUGACUGAUGCCUGAUCCAAUGUCAGUGAGUUCUCCUGGUCCAGGGGUAAGCACAUGAAUUUCCAACUUUCUUGUCUUGAGAAAGCCAGAAAAGAAUAGCCUGGGCAUAACCUGAAGAAAUUUGAGAAAUUUCUCUCCCAGCUUCUACCUGGCUCCAGCUUUCAAGCCAAAAUCAGCUCCUGACUGUUCCAUCUCACUGCUAAACUAUUAUAUAAGGAGUGGAGGUUCUGGGACAAUUACAUUGCAUCCUUAUAAGACUAAGUCAGAGGAACAUAUGUCUAAUUAGAGUCUAUCUUAGUGCUGGCUGCUAUAACAAACUACAUUGGACUGGAUAAUUUAUAAACGACAGAAAUUUAUUGCUCACAGUUUUGCAGCCUGGGAAAUUCAAGACCAGCAGAUCGUCUGGUGAGAGCCUGACCCCCAUAGAUGAUGUUUUUGUGUCCUCACAUGACAGAAGGGGUAAACAAUCUCCCUUGGGCUUCUUUAAGGAGGACAUUAAUCUCAUUCACAAGGGUGGACCUCUUAUGACCUAAUUAUCCCCCAAAGGCCUAAAUCUCAAUAUUACCACAUUGGGAAUAGGGUUUCCACAUAAGAAUUUUGUGGAGACACAAACAUUCAGACCAUAGCAUUUCAUCUAAGUUCAAUUUUUAUUUUACUGCUUGAGACAAAAGGUACCUAACACAAGAAAGAAAAGGAUUUAAUCUGUAUAGAGUUAUCAUUGAAUCUUUUAAAUUUUUUACUUUCAAACAUAAGAUACUUAAUAGCUGACUCCAAAUAUACUAUUAAUUUUAUUUACUUUUGACUAAGUGAUAGUAAACACAAUAACAUUUGCAAAAUUGCCAGUAAACAGAUGCUAGUUGAAUUUUUUUUCUAUCUUAUCUUCUCAAGUUGAAGUAAAUUAAGAUAUCAUAUAGAGCAGUGCUUUUUAAUCUAAUUGAAGUAGAAGACUUUUUUUAUUUAUUUGUUUUCUUCUUUAAUUCCCAAUUGAUCAUAGACUAGGCCAUUUUUUUUUUUUUUUUUUUUUUGUAGAGUACAGAGAGAGAGAGAGAUAAUGUGCAUGUGCUUGGAUUUUACACUGAAAUCAUUCUAGAAAUUUCUAAAUGCUUCCUCUCAAAUUUUGUACUAAUUGUAUGACAGGCUAGUAGCAGUUUGUUGAUUGAUUGAAAUUGUGUAAUAUUAGAAAUAAUGCCAGAGAAUAUUGUAUUAAAAACUAUUUGCUCUAAAGCUUUUCCCUCCAAUAGCUCUAUGACACCUUGGAAUUCUCUAGUGAAGGCCUGAGUCUUAUUCGUUGUAUCCAUAACUUAAACUGAAAACUGCCUGAGACAUAGUAAGUUACUAAAAACUAUUAGUAGCUUGAAUAUAUAAAUUAAAUAAUCAAAGUAGUUUCAAAAUGCUCAAGAAUCCUGAACUUCCCUGCCUUGGGAGAACCAGUUACUAUGGUAUUAUAAAAAUGACAACAACAACAAAAGUGAAUAUAUUUAAUUACUUACCUCAAAUUCUAUAUACCUCAGGAAUACUUGGAAUUGAAUUAAAAUAACUUUCGGCCCUUAAAGGCCAUUUGUAGAUGAAGUGGGUUAACCUAGACUGUGAAAAUGGAAGGGCCUUAGGAUAAUCAAGCCUGUGUUAAUUCCAGUGGCAGACCCUCUUGUGGCACAUUCUAGCCUGAACUUUCACAGGACACUUCCUUUUCUUUCAAAUGGGCACACUGAUACUUACCUUGUGUAUUAGCCUGCUAGGGCUGCCAUAUUGGAGCAACACAUUUUUUUUUUCCUCUGACCAUGUGCAAUCGUGUUUGUCUCUCCCAUCUCAUAAGCAUACAAAUCUUAUUGGAUUAAGACCUUAUCUUAAAAAUCUAAUUUAACGUUAGUUACCUUCAUAAAGGCCUUGUCACUAAAUACAGUCAAAUUGCAGAUUACAGCUUCAAUUUAUGAAUUUUGGAGAAGGCUUUCAAUAUAGUUCACAACAGUUUGGUAAAUUGUUGUGAAAAGUUAGAGAUAAUCCAUAAGAAGCAUGUUUCAUAGUAUUCACUCCAUAUUGACCUGUCAUUAAGUUAUUACCAUUACUAAUGAAAUGUAUUGUUACACUAGGUAUUGGUUGUUAACCAAUGCAAAGUGAUGCAUUAUGUAUUUGCAAACUUCCUUAAAAACAAAUACAAUUAAAUGAGAGUUUUAAUAAAGUAGAAAAAUGUAAGUUUUUUCAAAAAGGAGUAAUAUCCAUGUUUACUCUAAGGCUACAUGAGAGUUGAGUACAUGAGAAAAGAACAUUAAUGAUACUAAUGAUAACAGCAAUGGUUUAAAUUGGCAGAUUUUAAAGGAUAAAGUGAUGGUCUAGGUUAUCUGAUCUCACAGUUAAUGACAUUGACAUCUUAACCUUGCCUUAACACAGUAGCAAGUAUCCAAACUCGCUGAAGAUUUAAUUUUUACCAAGUCUUUUUUUUUUUUUUUUUUUUUCAGAAACCAUCAUGAUUACUAAUUGACAAUCAUAUUUUAAUCAUGUCUUCAUAGUGGUUUUCUUAUGCAGCAUGAAUAAUUUCAUACCAUCUGUAUUACUCGACUUUCAUAACAAACCUCUGCCAAAGAAUUGAAAACUAAAUGUGCGAAUCUAUUCACUGCACUGAGCUCAUGCAUAAACUACAAGAGAAUGUUUGAGAAGUUAUCUAUGUAUUUGCGUAGGCUUUACAUUUUUUCUUUCAUUCUUUCUUGAGGCUUUUUACUCUGUCACUUUCCCCACCAACCACCAACAUGGCAAGUAGCUGCCUGGGCUCCUAGCUGGUUCCAUCUGUGGACCCUCUGUUUCAAAUUAUUUUUGACUUAUGAGUGGAAGGAAAACUUAAUGGUUUGCUCCAUCCUCUGCCCUGGAAUAAAUUUUUGUGCUUUGGGAAACUUUGCACCACUCUGGCAAUUUUCUGUUUCUUCACUCAAUAUAGGAUUCUAAUUGCGAAGGCCAAAAGCUAACACCAAGUAUCCUAGCAGAGUGGUGAGUGAGUAGUGAAAAAAUUACUUACCGAUAUAUAUAGUAGUUACUAUUCAGGGCUAUAUUAAUUCUUUCCUAUUUUGAGUACUAAAUUGACAUAGCUUUCAGAUGACAGCUGUGAUUGUCUCAAAAUGUGUUCGUUAUUACAUUUUGAAAUGAUAAAUCUCCCUCUUUCCUGAGGUAGAACGUGCUUCCAGUGCAUCUGUAGUGUUCUCAAAAAGCAGGAAGACAAUGCUCAGAGUGAAUGAACAGUGUUUAUAGAUCUAAAACUCCUUUGAGCUGUAAAGUACAAAGGAUAGAUAUUAUGAUCUAGUGAUAAAAGGAUCAAGUCCAGGGUUUCACCCAGAGGAUUUGGGGCAUAGAACUUAUAGAAACAUAAACCAAAGGACGCAGCCAAACAAUGUUAGGAGGAGUUAGCUAAGUACAGAAAAUUCCCUUAUGCAGAAUGUCUUCUGCUGAUUUUGUCCCCUAACUUUGCAGUUAUAGUCUCUCCCUACCCACUCCCUAUGCAAUAAAAAACCCUUUCCCCCAUAGCGAUUUUAUUCAAAGUGAUUCAAAGUGUUUAGCAUCAAGCAGAUACAGCUAAAUAUUUCCCUGACUACCUGGGUGACUUUGGGCAAGUUUUGUUUCUUUUCAGAGUUCAAGUGUUCCUAACUUGUACAAUAGUGAUGAUGAUAGGAUUUCUCUUCUAUCAUGGUAAUGGGAUCAAAUGGGUUAUUAUAUGGAAAGUGUUUACAAGUUUCUUAGCACAUAGUAGGUACCAAAUAGUGUCCAUAAAUACCUGCUAUUUUCAUGUGGAGAGAAACACAUAACUAUUUUUUUAAGACUUUAGCCUUUCUUUUGUCACCUGGAUCUAAGCUAUCUUGGUCCAAUGGCUUUAUUUUUCACCAGCGGGUCACUGCAUAUUCCUUUUGCCACAGAGUGUACAAUUGCUAUGAGCACUGGUUCAUGACUUCCCUGGGUAGUUGGAAUCAAGCUUCAAGAUGAGUGUAUCUAAUAGAUAACAGUAACUUUCAUUGCAACAGUCUCUCACUUAUAUAAGCUCAGAUAAAUGUCACUAGCACCUAUUCCAAGUUCCCAUAAAAAGGGGAAGCGGCAAUAGUAGGCUCUCCUGGUGAACAUUCUCAAGUGGAUCCAGCUAUACCUGACCCCUGCAUGUCUCCCCAUAGACAAUAGAACCUAUCAUGCCACAGGCAGCAACAAACUUUCUGCCUGAGAUCACAAAUGUGUUUCCUGUUUCUUCAAGACCUUUGUUUGACUCAUUAUGAUCAUCAUCAUUAUCGUCUUUACCAUCACCAUUAUCAUCAUUAGCAGCAGCAGUAGCAGCAGCAAAACCACCAUCACCAUUGGUACACUGUAAAAAAUGUCCUAUGCAUUGUGAAAAGAAUGGAAAUAUGUGACACUUUGUCUUUAUCUUCUAGGUGCUUAUAUAUUAGGUGAUAAUAACAUCAUAGUAAUAAGCCUUAACACGCAUGACACUGGUUCAAACCAGCUCGUGGUCCUCCAUCUCCAAUAUGUAACUGCCUAUUGAAACAGUCUACUUGGCUGCCCAACAGGCAAUGCAGAGCAUAUAAAGACAAAACUGAACACUUAGCCCUUUUCCAUCUCUCAUUCCUGGUAUCUUCUAGUUUCCUAUGUUAGUAAACAGCAUCCCUCUGCAAUUGAGUGCCCAUAUUCAGAAUUAUGGACAAUCCUUAAUUCCUCUAUUGUUAUAAUAUACAUUGACUAUAUCAGGAAGUGCUAUUAGCUCCAACCACAAAGUAUAUUUUGCGUUUUUUUUAAUUCCCUCCAUCUCUACUACGAUUACCCUAGCCUAAGUCAACAUCAUCUCCUGGUCUGACUCCCUGCUUCCAUCCUUCACUUACGACAUUCCAUUCAUUAUCUACUAUGAGAUAAUAAUACUUUUUUAAGAAGCCGUUAUAAUUAAAACAUAAUAAAUUGCCAUUACACUUAAAAUAAAAUCAAAAUUUCUGAUUUUCAUUGUAAGAUCUCAUGACCUGGCUCUUCUUACCAUAUUAAAUCUAUGUUUUAGGGGCUUCAUCUUUACUUAAAAAGUCUGGCCAGACUGGCUUCCUUUCUGUCUCUGAAUUGUAGAAAGCUCAUUCUCAACUCAGAGACUUUACACUUGCUAUUCCCUUUGUCUGAAUGCUUUCAUCUCCUUACCACCUAUCAGGGUCUUUCUCUUUCUGCAGUUGUGAGCUCAGAUAUUACCUUAACAGGAGAUCUCCAAAUUCCACCUUCCUGGUUAAAGCUGCUCUCCACUAUCUACCACAUCGGUCAUUAAAAUUUGUAAUUUUCUCUUCUCAUAUUCAUUUACUCUUUUUUUUUUUUUUUUUUUUUUUUGAGACAGAGUCUUGCUCUGUCACCCAGGCUGGAGUGCAAUGACUUGAUCUAGGCUCACUGCAACCUCUGCCUUCCAGGUUCAAGUGAUUCUCCUGCCUCAGCCUCCCGAGUAGCUGGGAUUACAGGUAUGCACCACCACACCUGGCUAAUUUUUGUAUUUUUAGUAGAGCCGGGCUUUUGCUAUGUUGACAAGGCUGAUCUCAAACUCCUCACCUCAGGUGAUCCAUCCACCUCAUUUAUUCUUUAUGGCAGUUCUCCUCACUAGAUUGUAGGCUCCAUGGAGAAAGGGACUUUGUCUGUAUUAUUCAUGGUUAUAUGUCCAUUCUUAAUAUAGAUAGUGCUCAGGAGACAGAAAGAAAAAGAGAAGCCAAAUGAUGCUAAUAUAGGGGAUUUGUCCCUCAUCAAUGAACAUAUAUGUUCUUAGGACUUACAUAGUGAUACGAUUUCCAUAUUAGACAAAAUCUACUUCUUUAUAUAAAUACACUAUUUUUUAAAAAUACCCAGGGAUUAGUAUAUUUCCUUUGACAUCAGCAUUUAUUUUAUUUCUACAGUACAUUAUCCACCUGAAUUGAAGAAGCAGAACCAGCCAGAAGAGGAAACACUGUAAUAAAAUUAAGAUCUGGACUCUAAUUCUGUUUUAUUUUCUCAACGUAUAAACCAUGAGUAAAUUGUUAAUCUUAAAAGAAAAUGUUUUUCUUCCAUUGUUCCUUUGUAAAGUGGACAUGAUCACACCUGUGUUCAGAAGGAACUGAUUCAGAGCUUGGUGCUGAAGGUAACAAAGCUAUCUGUGUUUGAUCAAGAUUCAAACCCUCAAUGUCUGAGAAAAGCAUCAUAUUCUUUAUCCAAGUGGACUUUGUAUAGAUGCAACAAAAUAUUCAUUCAAAUAUUUUCUAAAGUGCCAGGUCGCUUGAAGUUUACUUAUACUACUAUAGAUUUUAAGCUGCAUUUCACUGUAGAUAAUGCAAAGACAAUUAAAAGAACAGACAAUAAGCAGAUAAAGAGGCAUUAUUUUAUUACUAUGAAAGUUAAUAUGUCAUUUGUCACUGAAAUAGACAUGUCUUUAAUUUGCUUGGCAAAAGAGUGAGUAUAAGGUCUGAAUGUUUAAUCUCCCUAAAGUGUUCAUCACAUUGCAACAGAUUUAAUCUAUUCUCCAUCCAGAAAGACCACCUACAAACAAAGCAAUUACAAUUUGUUGUUUUACAGAUAAUAAAAUAAUUAGGUAUGCCAAGCAUAGGAAAGUAUGUAAUUUUACUGCCGUUUGUAAAAGAUGAUUAGAAGGAAUGCUCCACGGGCACUUCAGAAUUAAUUGAGAGGAACCAGGUACAGAUUUGAUUACUGGUAAUGCUUUUUGGAAGAAUCAGGAAUUUAGAAGCUAUUAAUAAUGAUUGUAAAGAUAAAGUUGGAGAAAGACGUGUUACAGAUGGGAAAAAGUUAUUGUUUUGCAGGGAAGAGUACAGAAUCACCCUUUAUGAUGCUUUGAAAUUCAGUCUAUCUUUGGUUUGGUAUAGAAAUUUGCAGAAAAUAGGUAACUAAAGAUACAUCAUAAGCAGGUUAACAAAUAAUGAUGAAACUGAAAAAACAUUUAUAAUGCUAAUAUUAUAACAACAACAAUUAUUAAUAUGGAGAAAACUACCAAAAGAGGCUGAAAUAUAAGGAGACAUCUUUUUUGGCUUAUUUUGUUUUUGUGUAAUGACCUGAACAAAUUCUCUUUGUAAUUUAAGUAGAAAUAAAAGCUUUAAAACCCUCUGAGGAUAUUUUAGUAGAAUCCUUCAAUGUCCUCCAAAAUCCAUUCUUUAUAGGCAGUAACAGUAUUAAAAAAAAUCAGUUUUCUAGCUUGAAAUACCUAUGGUAAUACUGUGGAUUAUUUUUAGUCAAUUCUAACUGAUGUUAUUUUUGAGAACAUAAAAGAAGUUUAUUGUGUGAUAAAAUUGGAAACCACAAGAUAUGUAUUAUGUCAGAAAGUGAUGGCAGAUAAAUGUCUGAUAAGAAUAUCUAUUAUAAAGGGAGAUGGAACUGAAAUAUAAUAGACAAGAGCCAUUUAAGAAAAUAAAUUACAUCUUAUUCAACAUUUUUGUGGUCUACCUCUUUGCCUCAGAUAUUAUAUGCUCUAUUUCUGUUCAUAAAAUGUUAUUUAAUGCAGUAUAAAGGUUCUCAUCUACCAUUCUAUAUUUUUUUGCAUCACAGCACAAUAUUAUCUGAAGACUGCCUGCUGAUAGGAGAGCAUGUUCAUUCAAUUUUUUAAGCAAUAUUAUUUUCUUUCGGAGAUAUGCAUAAAGAAGAC
Molecule: long non-coding RNA, 12006 nt
Filed under: Homo sapiens (human)
Lineage: Eukaryota; Metazoa; Chordata; Mammalia; Primates; Hominidae
Description: HSALNT0070591
Source: RNAcentral